GGGUUGUGAGGUUAAGCGACUAAGCGUACACGGUGGAUGCCCUGGCAGUCAGAGGCGAUGAAGGACGUGCUAAUCUGCGAAAAGCGUCGGUAAGGUGAUAUGAACCGUUACAGCCGGCGAUGUCCGAAUGGGGAAACCCAGUGUGAUUCGUCACACUAUCGUUAACUGAAUACAUAGGUUAACGAGGCGAACCGGGGGAACUGAAACAUCUAAGUACCCCGAGGAAAAGAAAUCAACCGAGAUUCCCCCAGUAGCGGCGAGCGAACGGGGAGCAGCCCAGAGUCUGAAUCAGCUUGUGUGUUAGUGGAACGGUCUGGAAAGUCCGACGGUACAGGGUGAUAGUCCCGUACACCAAAAUGCACAGGCUGUGAACUCGAAGAGUAGGGCGGGACACGUGGUAUCCUGUCUGAAUAUGGGGGGACCAUCCUCCAAGGCUAAAUACUCCUGACUGACCGAUAGUGAACCAGUACCGUGAGGGAAAGGCGAAAAGAACCCCGGCGAGGGGAGUGAAAAAGAACCUGAAACCGUGUACGUACAAGCAGUGGGAGCACCUUCGGGUGUGACUGCGUACCUUUUGUAUAAUGGGUCAGCGACUUAUAUUCUGUAGCAAGGUUAACCGUAUAGGGGAGCCGCAGGGAAACCGAGUCUUAACUGGGCGUUAAGUUGCAGGGUAUAGACCCGAAACCCGGUGAUCUAGCCAUGGGCAGGUUGAAGGUUGGGUAACACUAACUGGAGGACCGAACCGACUAAUGUUGAAAAAUUAGCGGAUGACUUGUGGCUGGGGGUGAAAGGCCAAUCAAACCGGGAGAUAGCUGGUUCUCCCCGAAAGCUAUUUAGGUAGCGCCUCGUGAAUUCAUCUUCGGGGGUAGAGCACUGUUUCGGCUAGGGGGUCAUCCCGACUUACCAACCCGAUGCAAACUACGAAUACCGAAGAAUGUUAUCACGGGAGACACACGGCGGGUGCUAACGUCCGUCGUGAAGAGGGAAACAACCCAGACCGCCAGCUAAGGUCCCAAAGUCAUGGUUAAGUGGGAAACGAUGUGGGAAGGCACAGACAGCCAGGAUGUUGGCUUAGAAGCAGCCAUCAUUUAAAGAAAGCGUAAUAGCUCACUGGUCGAGUCGGCCUGCGCGGAAGAUGUAACGGGGCUAAACCAUGCACCGAAGCUGCGGCAGCGACACUAUGUGUUGUUGGGUAGGGGAGCGUUCUGUAAGCCUGCGAAGGUGACCUGUGAGGGUUGCUGGAGGUAUCAGAAGUGCGAAUGCUGACAUAAGUAACGAUAAAGCGGGUGAAAAGCCCGCUCGCCGGAAGACCAAGGGUUCCUGUCCAACGUUAAUCGGGGCAGGGUGAGUCGACCCCUAAGGCGAGGCCGAAAGGCGUAGUCGAUGGGAAACAGGUUAAUAUUCCUGUACUUGGUGUUACUGCGAAGGGGGGACGGAGAAGGCUAUGUUAGCCGGGCGACGGUUGUCCCGGUUUAAGCAUGUAGGCUGGUUGUCCAGGCAAAUCCGGAUAAUCAAGGCUGAGGUGUGAUGACGAGGCACUACGGUGCUGAAGUAACAAAUGCCCUGCUUCCAGGAAAAGCCUCUAAGCAUCAGGUAACAUUAAAUCGUACCCCAAACCGACACAGGUGGUCAGGUAGAGAAUACCAAGGCGCUUGAGAGAACUCGGGUGAAGGAACUAGGCAAAAUGGUGCCGUAACUUCGGGAGAAGGCACGCUGGUGUGUAGGUGAAGUCCCUGCGGAUGGAGCUGAGACCAGUCGAAGAUACCAGCUGGCUGCAACUGUUUAUUAAAAACACAGCACUGUGCAAACACGAAAGUGGACGUAUACGGUGUGACGCCUGCCCGGUGCCGGAAGGUUAAUUGAUGGGGUUAUCCGUAAGGAGAAGCUCUUGAUCGAAGCCCCGGUAAACGGCGGCCGUAACUAUAACGGUCCUAAGGUAGCGAAAUUCCUUGUCGGGUAAGUUCCGACCUGCACGAAUGGCGUAAUGAUGGCCAGGCUGUCUCCACCCGAGACUCAGUGAAAUUGAACUCGCUGUGAAGAUGCAGUGUACCCGCGGCAAGACGGAAAGACCCCGUGAACCUUUACUAUAGCUUGACACUGAACAUUGAGCCUUGAUGUGUAGGAUAGGUGGGAGGCUUUGAAGCGUGGACGCCAGUCUGCGUGGAGCCAACCUUGAAAUACCACCCUUUAAUGUUUGAUGUUCUAACGUUGGCCCCUUACCGGGGUUGCGGACAGUGUCUGGUGGGUAGUUUGACUGGGGCGGUCUCCUCCCAAAGCGUAACGGAGGAGCACGAAGGUUAGCUAAUCCUGGUCGGACAUCAGGAGGUUAGUGCAAUGGCAUAAGCUAGCUUGACUGCGAGCGUGACGGCGCGAGCAGGUGCGAAAGCAGGUCAUAGUGAUCCGGUGGUUCUGAAUGGAAGGGCCAUCGCUCAACGGAUAAAAGGUACUCCGGGGAUAACAGGCUGAUACCGCCCAAGAGUUCAUAUCGACGGCGGUGUUUGGCACCUCGAUGUCGGCUCAUCACAUCCUGGGGCUGAAGUAGGUCCCAAGGGUAUGGCUGUUCGCCAUUUAAAGUGGUACGCGAGCUGGGUUUAGAACGUCGUGAGACAGUUCGGUCCCUAUCUGCCGUGGGCGCUGGAGAAUUGAGGGGGGCUGCUCCUAGUACGAGAGGACCGGAGUGGACGCAUCACUGGUGUUCGGGUUGUCAUGCCAAUGGCACUGCCCGGUAGCUAAAUGCGGAAGAGAUAAGUGCUGAAAGCAUCUAAGCACGAAACUUGCCCCGAGAUGAGUUCUCCCUGAGACUUUAAGUCUCCUGAAGGAACGUUGAAGACGACGACGUUGAUAGGCCGGGUGUGUAAGCGCAGCGAUGCGUUGAGCUAACCGGUACUAAUGAACCGUGAGGCUUAACCUUACAACGCCGAAG
This 2923-nucleotide ribosomal RNA is filed under the name Klebsiella pneumoniae. RNAcentral's name for it is "23S ribosomal RNA". It matches the Rfam family "Bacterial large subunit ribosomal RNA". Lineage: Bacteria; Pseudomonadati; Pseudomonadota; Gammaproteobacteria; Enterobacterales; Enterobacteriaceae. The record is from RNAcentral.